RNAcentral lists this transfer RNA (74 nucleotides) under Candidatus Yanofskybacteria bacterium RIFCSPLOWO2_01_FULL_41_34. RNAcentral describes it as "tRNA-Gln". It matches the Rfam family "tRNA". From Rfam's summary of the family: Transfer RNA (tRNA) molecules are approximately 80 nucleotides in length. Lineage: Bacteria; Candidatus Yanofskyibacteriota. The record is from RNAcentral.
UGCUCGAUCGUCUAAUGGUAGGACCGCGGUUUCUGGAGCCGUUAAUUGGGGUUCGAGUCCCUGUCGAGCAACAA